Molecule: non-coding RNA, 73 nt
Organism: Potamilus streckersoni
Lineage: Eukaryota; Metazoa; Mollusca; Bivalvia; Unionida; Unionidae
Source: the annotation of a GenBank genome assembly
GCUCCGGUGGCCUAGUGGUUAGACUGUCAGCCUCAGAUGCGCUAGGUCGUGGGUUCGAGCCCCGGUCAAAUCA